Molecule: ribosomal RNA, 253 nt
Filed under: uncultured bacterium
Lineage: Bacteria
Description: partial 16S ribosomal RNA
Rfam family: Bacterial small subunit ribosomal RNA
Source: RNAcentral
UACGGAGGGUGCGAGCGUUGUCCGGAAUCACUGGGCGUAAAGGGCGCGUAGGCGGCGCGAGUAGUCAACGGUGAAAGCCCGGGGCUCAACCCCGGGUCGGCCGUCGAUACUCUCGUGCUUGAGCACUGUAGAGGCAGGUGGAAUUCCGGGUGUAGCGGUGAAAUGCGCAGAUAUCAGGAGGAACACCGAUGGCGAAGGCAGGUCUCUGGGCAGUUACUGACGCUGAGGAGCGAAAGCAUGGGGAGCGAACAGG